Molecule: small RNA, 446 nt
Filed under: Pan troglodytes (chimpanzee)
Lineage: Eukaryota; Metazoa; Chordata; Mammalia; Primates; Hominidae
Description: processed transcript
Source: RNAcentral
GUGCUGGAGAAUCUGGUAAAAGCACCAUUGUGAAGCAGAUGAGGAUCCUGCAUGUUAAUGGGUUUAAUGGAGAUGAGAAGGCAACCAAAGUGCAGGACAUCAAAAACAACCUGAAAGAGGCGAUUGAAACCAUUGUGGCCGCCAUGAGCAACCUGGUGCCCCCCGUGGAGCUGGCCAACCCCGAGAACCAGUUCAGAGUGGACUACAUUCUGAGUGUGAUGAACGUGCCUGACUUUGACUUCCCUCCCGAAUUCUAUGAGCAUGCCAAGGCUCUGUGGGAGGAUGAAGGAGUGCGUGCCUGCUAUGAACGCUCCAACGAGUACCAGCUGAUUGACUGUGCCCAGUACUUCCUGGACAAGAUCGACGUGAUCAAGCAGGCUGACUACGUGCCGAGCGAUCAGGACCUGCUUCGCUGCCGUGUCCUGACUUCUGGAAUCUUUGAGACC